Molecule: non-coding RNA, 122 nt
Filed under: unclassified sequences
Description: DUF3800-I RNA
Rfam family: DUF3800-I RNA (bases 18-122)
About the family: Actinobacteria, Firmicutes, Fusobacteria, Proteobacteria (1 example), Tenericutes (2 examples). Terminator (Clostridia)
Source: Rfam by way of RNAcentral
UUAUGUACCGAGACACAUUCAGUGUCUGACUGGUCUACAAGGGAUACUGAUCUUAGUGAUUAAGCGUACUGUAAGUACGUCAGUCUCUUGGCAAGCGGGGGCAACCUCGCUUUUUUUAUGGA